AGCGUACACGGUGGAUGCCUAGGCAAUCAGAGGCGAUGAAGGACGUGCUAAUCUGCGAUAAGCGUCGGUAAGGUGAUAUGAACCGUUAUACCCGACGAUUUCCGAAUGGGGAAACCCAGUGCAAUCCGUUGCAUUAUCGUUUGAUGAAUACAUAGUCAAACGAAGCGAACCGGGGGAACUGAAACAUCUCAGUACCCCGAGGAAAAGAAAUCAACCGAGAUUCCCCUAGUAGCGGCGAGCGAACGGGGAGCAGCCCAGAGUCUUAAUCAGCAUUAGUAUCAGGAGAACGGUCUGGAAAGUCCGGCAGUAAAGGGUGAUAGCCCCGUAUCUGAAGAUAUUAGUGUUGUGAACUCGACGAGUAGGGCGGGACACGUGUUAUCCUGUCUGAAUAUGGGGGGACCAUCCUCCAAGGCUAAAUACUCCUGAUUGACCGAUAGUGAACCAGUACCGUGAGGGAAAGGCGAAAAGAACCCCGGCGAGGGGAGUGAAAUAGAACCUGAAACCGUGUACGUACAAGCAGUGGGAGCCUUGAUUUAUCAGGGUGACUGCGUACCUUUUGUAUAAUGGGUCAGCGACUUAUAUUCUGUAGCAAGGUUAACCGUAUAGGGGAGCCGUAGGGAAACCGAGUCUUAACUUGGCGAAUGAGUUGCAGGGUAUAGACCCGAAACCCGGUGAUCUAGCCAUGGGCAGGUUGAAGGUUGGGUAACACUAACUGGAGGACCGAACCGACUAAUGUUGAAAAAUUAGCGGAUGACUUGUGGCUGGGGGUGAAAGGCCAAUCAAACCGGGAGAUAGCUGGUUCUCCCCGAAAGCUAUUUAGGUAGCGCCUCGUGAACUCAUCUUCGGGGGUAGAGCACUGUUUCGACUAGGGGGUCAUCCCGACUUACCAACUCGAUGCAAACUACGAAUACCGAAGAAUGUUAUCACGGGAGACACACGGCGGGUGCUAACGUUCGUCGUGAAGAGGGAAACAACCCAGACCGCCAGCUAAGGUCCCAAAGUCAUAGUUAAGUGGGAAACGAAGUGGGAAGGCUCAGACAGCCAGGAUGUUGGCUUAGAAGCAGCCAUCAUUUAAAGAAAGCGUAAUAGCUCACUGGUCGAGUCGGCCUGCGCGGAAGAUGUAACGGGGCUAAACUAUGCACCGAAGCUGCGGCAGCGAUAUGUAAAUAUUGUUGGGUAGGGGAGCGUUCUGUAAGCCUGUGAAGGUGUACUGUGAGGUAUGCUGGAGGUAUCAGAAGUGCGAAUGCUGACAUAAGUAACGAUAAUGCGGGUGAAAAACCCGCACGCCGGAAGACCAAGGGUUCCUGUCCAACGUUAAUCGGGGCAGGGUGAGUCGACCCCUAAGGCGAGGCAGAAAUGCGUAGUCGAUGGGAAACGGGUUAAUAUUCCCGUACUGGUGAUAAUUGCGAUGGGGGGACGGAGAAGGCUAGGCUGGCCGGGCGACGGUUGUCCCGGUUUAAGGAUGUAGGCAGGUGAAUUAGGCAAAUCCGGUUCACUAUAUGCUGAGGUCUGAUGACGAGUCACUACGGUGGCGAAGUAGCUCAUGCCCCGCUUCCAGGAAAAGCCUCUAAGCUCUAGAUUAUCAUUAAUCGUACCCCAAACCGACACAGGUGGUCAGGUAGAGAAUACUCAGGCGCUUGAGAGAACUCGGGUGAAGGAACUAGGCAAAAUGGUGCCGUAACUUCGGGAGAAGGCACGCUGGCGCUAGGUGAAGUGGUUUACCCAUGGAGCUGAAGCCAGUCGCAGAUACCAGCUGGCUGCAACUGUUUAUUAAAAACACAGCACUGUGCAAACACGAAAGUGGACGUAUACGGUGUGACGCCUGCCCGGUGCUGGAAGGUUAAUUGAUGGGGUUAUCCGUAAGGAGAAGCUCUUGAUCGAAGCCCCAGUAAACGGCGGCCGUAACUAUAACGGUCCUAAGGUAGCGAAAUUCCUUGUCGGGUAAGUUCCGACCUGCACGAAUGGCGUAAUGAUGGCCAGGCUGUCUCCACCCGAGACUCAGUGAAAUUGAACUCGCUGUGAAGAUGCAGUGUACCCGCGGCAAGACGGAAAGACCCCGUGAACCUUUACUAUAGCUUGACACUGAACAUUGAGCCUUGAUGUGUAGGAUAGGUGGGAGGCUUUGAAGUGUGGACGCCAGUCUGCAUGGAGCCAACCUUGAAAUACCACCCUUUAAUGUUUGAUGUUCUAACGUUGCCCCGUUAUCCGGGGUGCGGACAGUGUCUGGUGGGUAGUUUGACUGGGGCGGUCUCCUCCCAAAGAGUAACGGAGGAGCACGAAGGUUGGCUAAGCAUGGUCGGACAUCAUGCGGUUAGUGCAAAGGCAUAAGCCAGCUUGACUGCGAGAGUGACGGCUCGAGCAGGUACGAAAGUAGGUCUUAGUGAUCCGGUGGUUCUGAAUGGAAGGGCCAUCGCUCAACGGAUAAAAGGUACUCCGGGGAUAACAGGCUGAUACCGCCCAAGAGUUCAUAUCGACGGCGGUGUUUGGCACCUCGAUGUCGGCUCAUCACAUCCUGGGGCUGAAGUAGGUCCCAAGGGUACGGCUGUUCGCCGUUUAAAGUGGUACGCGAGCUGGGUUUAGAACGUCGUGAGACAGUUCGGUCCCUAUCUGCCGUGGGCGUUGGAAGAUUGAAAGGGGCUGCUCCUAGUACGAGAGGACCGGAGUGGACGCACCACUGGUGUUCGGGUUGUCAUGCCAAUGGCAUUGCCCGGUAGCUAAGUGCGGAAGAGAUAACCGCUGAAAGCAUCUAAGCGGGAAACUUGCCUUGAGAUGAGUCUUCCCUGACCCUUUA
This 2791-nucleotide ribosomal RNA is filed under the name Providencia rettgeri. Its description in RNAcentral is "bacterial LSU rRNA". It matches the Rfam family "Bacterial large subunit ribosomal RNA". Lineage: Bacteria; Pseudomonadati; Pseudomonadota; Gammaproteobacteria; Enterobacterales; Morganellaceae. The record is from RNAcentral.